GGGGGCGUACUGGUUUCGACGGGGGUUUAGAGUCAUUAGUGGCGAGCCGUGUUUAGCUUGGGAUCACGUAACAAACUGAGCAAUAAAUACAAACGCAAACGAUAAUUAUUCACUAGCUGCAGCGUAAUAGCACAGCUCGUUUCUCCUAGGCUUCCCACAGUCUAGACAGAAACGUCAUCUUAGUGGGGAACGUCUUAAGGGGUGUCGCGACCUUAAGUUGUACAAUUGUGACUAGCUGAUCUUAAAACCCGUUGCUAGGUGUUAGGUAAAGCGAAAUUCUAAAGUAGCAACUACGCUCGUAGAAGCUGAUGGUGAAGGGCCUUCGGACAGGGGUUCGAUUCCCCUCGCCUCCACCA
Alkaliphilus metalliredigens QYMF is the source of this 356-nucleotide non-coding RNA. It matches the Rfam family "transfer-messenger RNA". From Rfam's summary of the family: Bacterial tmRNA, also known as 10Sa RNA or SsrA, is named for its dual tRNA and mRNA-like properties. Its role is to liberate the mRNA from a stalled ribosome. The record is from Rfam. Lineage: Bacteria; Bacillati; Bacillota; Clostridia; Peptostreptococcales; Natronincolaceae.